GUCCACGCCCUAAACGAUGAUGACUAGUUGUUGGAGGAGUUAAAUCCUUUAGUAACGCAGCUAACGCGAGAAGUCAUCCGCCUGGGGAGUACGGUCGCAAGAUUAAAACUCAAAGGAAUUGACGGGGGCCCCGCACAAGCGGUGGAUGAUGUGGUUUAAUUCGACGCAACGCGAAAACCUUACCUACCCUUGACAUGUACGGAACCUCAUAGAGAUGUGAGGGUGCCCGAAAGGGAGCCGUAACACAGGUGCUGCAUGGCUGUCGU
RNAcentral lists this ribosomal RNA (266 nucleotides) under uncultured bacterium. RNAcentral's name for it is "partial 16S ribosomal RNA". It matches the Rfam family "Bacterial small subunit ribosomal RNA", at positions 793 to 1055 of the family's 1533-position model. The record is from RNAcentral.